Molecule: non-coding RNA, 2608 nt
Organism: Pocillopora verrucosa
Lineage: Eukaryota; Metazoa; Cnidaria; Anthozoa; Scleractinia; Pocilloporidae
Source: RefSeq, a predicted model, not a curated record
UGUAAGUGAUAAGGUAUGUUUCAGAUAAGCAAGCUACAAAUGAAUCUGUUAUAUGCAGAUCUGAGAGUGCUGCUGAAACUGUAACUACUGAAAAGAGCUUGCAUGCAACCAUGUGUACUUUGACAUGAGGUGUACAUUGUCAGUGGAAACUGCACAAGAUGUAGAGUACAUCUACAUGCAAAGAUCUUUGAGCUGAUUUUCUACAAGGUAAAUUAUUUUAACUUACUAUGCACUUUGUAUUGCACGAGUUUACUUAUUUACAAAACUGUUGCAGGAGGCAGAUUGCAUUCAACAGCUCAACAAAGCUGAUCCUCUCCGUGUUUCCAGAGCUGUCCAAUUGUUUGUAAGUCAUGAAUGUACAAUCCUUUUUGAGUACUGAAUCAAAUGAAACAAAAUAUCUGCAUGUUGUUAAAUAGGACUGAUUUUAUACAGUCACUGUAAGUAUCACUCCACCUUUUUGAUACCAUAUGAAAAAUCAUGAAAAGAGAACAAACUGACCCUACUGAAGGACAAAAAUGAUGUAAACUCAAUGGUAUUAAACACCACUGGCCUUAACUGACAAGGCAAUUCAACCAAUGACCUUGGAUUGAGAAUGGUGAAUGCUUUGCCUUUGACAUCCAUCAACUUGAAAGAGUGGUGCAAACUAGGUUUUUUGCAUGUCAACAAUUAAUUGGCAGUAUCAAACAUGCAUGAAAAUUAUCAUAAUUUACUUGUAUGCAGUUACAGCUUUUCUUGUAAAACACUGCAGCUUUAAUAUAAUGAUUUCCAAUUGGUUCUUUGUUUUACAAUAAUUGUAACAUAGCACUGAUAUAUUUGGUACAUGAGUACAAGAAUGUAGAGGACCACAGUUCACUGACCUUGCAUUUUUGCCAAUUUGACAUAUUUGCUUGUGGAUUUUUAGAAUGUUUUCAGUUUUGAGGGUCAUUACUGCUUGGUUUUUGAGCUGUUGAGACCUCAACCACUCCAUCAAUGCUUUCAGAGAAAUGUCAGUUUGAUAACGAGGAUGAAAAACUGAAAGUUAUCAGGAAAAUAACUUUUCAACUCUUACAAGCUCUUGGAUUCCUAAGGAGACAGAAUGUCAUCCAUGCUGACUAGAAACCAGAGAACAUUCUUUUUGAAGAAGGUGACGAAACCAAGAUAAAAGUUGUUGACUUUGGAAAUGCAAUUCACUGGGUUCAUAGAGAGGUAAUGUUUGGUGUUCCUUUUGGCCCUAAGAUUGACAUUUGGUCUCUGGGAUGCAUUGUAGCUGAGUUGUAUAUAGGCAAACCUUUAUUUCUGGGAGGAAAUAGGACUAAAGUGUUGCAAGAGGUAACCAGUAUUCUUGGUCCCUGGAGUCCAUUCCAUACUGGAAAAUUUUUUGAAGAUUUGUCUCAGUUUAAAUGUCACCACAACUCAGUCUUGCAGAUGUGUGGGGGACCGACCAGCGCUUUGCCAAGAAAAUCGGAGAAAGAACGCUGUUUGUCACUCAUGGGGAAAGUUGCUCCAAGAUAAGCGUUGAUGCUCUAGGUAGCAUUUCCUUCAGUAUUGUGCUUGAACUCUGCAGCAACCAAGAAGAGGCAGAUACUCGAAUGUUUCUGCAUGCCUUGCAUUCCUCUGAUGCGGCUCAUCAACAGAUCUUAAUCAAGUCAUCGGGCACCGAUGUAGAAGUAUUGGCGUGCAACUUUCGAGAGUACAUAAGUGCUGACAUCUUUCUUCUCUAUGGCACAAGAAGUCGAGCUCGUGUCAUCAAUGUCACCUAGGUCUGUGAGCAGCUAGGUGUCGAGGUGUAUCAGGCAUUACCAGAGCUACACGUACUCACUGGGUGCGACACAGUAAGCUCUUUUGCUGGAAAAGGGAAAAGGCGGCUCUUGAUGUCGUGAAAGCUGACGAAAACAGCAGAGCAAGUAUCCAUAGAAUCGGCGAGUGUGUCCCACCAAUCAGAGAAGAUCUUGGAAAAAUGGAGAAGUUCGUUUGUUCACUUUACAAUGAUUUUAGUUGUUGUAUAGUCAACGAUACGAGAUACAAGUUAUUCUGCAAAAUCCAGAAUCUACAGUCGUACCAGCUUCCUCCCACCCAUGCUGCCCCAUAGAAGCAUCUACAACGCGCAAACUACCAAGCUUAUGUUUGGAAACAUGCAUUGGAUGCAAGAAUUCUAAACCAAGGACCAGAUGGUCAAGGAUGGUGAGUUAGAGGAGAGGCGCUGGAGAUCGACUGGACCGACCUCGCGCCGGCCCUGGAAUCUGUAAUGGAGCUAGUGUGCUGUGGCUGCAGAGGAAAGUGUGAAACCCGUAGGUGCUCUUGCGUCAAGAACGAACUCCACUGCACAGAGGCAUGUUCCUGUGGGGAAGAAUGUGUCAACUGUGACAACAGUUAAUUCAGCGAUGAUGAGGACGACUCCACCAGUAGUGAGGAAGAAGAUGACCUGUAAAAGUUAUCUCAUGAUAUACCGUAUUGCGGUUGUGACAAAUUUCUCGAAAAGUUUCUUGAAAUAUAACGUCAAUACAGAUUAGGUACGAAGAACGUUGCAAGCGUUGCUAUGGAAACAUACAAUGCCACUGGCAUUGCUAUAUUAGUUAGUAGUAGGCAUUGCUUUAUAAUGUAUAAUGAUAAACUUUCCAUUGCUCAAUAA